GAUUAACGCUGGCGGCGUGCCUAACACAUGCAAGUCGAACGAUGAAACUCAUUAGAUUUCUUCGGAAUGAAAAUGAAUGGAUUAGUGGCGAACGGGUGAGUAACGCGUGAGUAACCUGCCUUACACAAGGGGAUAGCCUCUGGAAACGGAGAAUAAUACCCUAUGAAACCAGACAAUCGCAUGAUAAUCUGGUCAAAAUGUUUAGUGGUGUAAGAUGGACUUGCGUCUGAUUAGCUAGUUGGUGAGAUAAAAGCUCACCAAGGCAACGAUCAGUAGCCGGCUUGAGAGAGUGUACGGCCACAUUGGGACUGAGACACGGCCCAGACUCCUACGGGAGGCAGCAGUGGGGAAUUUUGCACAAUGGGGGAAACCCUGAUGCAGCGACGCCGCGUGAUUUAGAAGGCCUUCGGGUUGUAAAAAUCUUUUGUAUAGGAAGAAAAUGACAGUACUAUACGAAUAAGGUCCGGCUAAUUACGUG
Molecule: ribosomal RNA, 478 nt
Filed under: uncultured bacterium
Lineage: Bacteria
Description: partial 16S ribosomal RNA
Rfam family: Bacterial small subunit ribosomal RNA
Source: RNAcentral